Molecule: ribosomal RNA, 497 nt
Filed under: uncultured bacterium
Lineage: Bacteria
Description: partial 16S ribosomal RNA
Rfam family: Bacterial small subunit ribosomal RNA
Source: RNAcentral
GAUGAACGCUGGCGGCGUGCCUAAUACAUGCCAGUCGAGCGAACAGACGAGGAGCUUGCUCCUCUGACGUUAGCGUCGGACGGGUGAGUAACACGUGGAUAACCUACCUAUAAGACUGGGAUAACUUCGGGAAACCGGAGCUAAUACCGGAUAAUAUAUUGAACCGCAUGGUUCAAUAGUGAAAGACGGUUUUGCUGUCACUUAUAGAUGGAUCCGCGCCGCAUUAGCUAGUUGGUAAGGUAACGGCUUACCAAGGCAACGAUGCGUAGCCGACCUGAGAGGGUGAUCGGCCACACUGGAACUGAGACACGGUCCAGACUCCUACGGGAGGCAGCAGUAGGGAAUCUUCCGCAAUGGGCGAAAGCCUGACGGAGCAACGCCGCGUGAGUGAUGAAGGUCUUCGGAUCGUAAAACUCUGUUAUUAGGGAAGAACAAAUGUGUAAGUAACUAUGCACAUCUUGACGGUACCUAAUCAGAAAGCCACGGCUAACUACGUG